This 31-nucleotide non-coding RNA is filed under the name Mus musculus (house mouse). The record is from RNAcentral. Lineage: Eukaryota; Metazoa; Chordata; Mammalia; Rodentia; Muridae.
UGAAAGAGGUGAACUCCACAGAAAGUCUUGU